This is a long non-coding RNA of Oreochromis niloticus (Nile tilapia), 461 nucleotides long. RefSeq lists it as uncharacterized. Lineage: Eukaryota; Metazoa; Chordata; Actinopteri; Cichliformes; Cichlidae. The record is from RefSeq and is a predicted model, not a curated record. The transcript is spliced from 3 exons.
UGUUUCUGCCUCCCUCGUCUUCUUAUUUAGAAAUGAUUAUUACCUUUAUGUCUUGUAGAUUAAAUAUUGAGCUGUUCACAGGGACAAAAACUGCGACUCAAGACUGAUUGGACCGAGUGAGCUGGCCCAAAUCUCUGGAGUAAAGACUGGGCGAGUGGAAGCCAGGUUCAUGACUUCACAGUGUGGGUUGUUUGCCUAGGGACCCUGGAGCAGUCCAGGAAGGACCCUCCACCAGAACCAGGCUCAAGGAAGGGCAGCCAUCUGCCACAACUGACAAAAGAAACACUGUGGAGGGUGCCAGAGAUUACUGACAACUAAUGAUCAAAUGCAGAGCAGCGUAUAAACAGAGUGUGAAAAGAGACAAAAAUCCAAGUGAAACACAAGUUACUUUUUCACAUAGGCCCAGGUAGGUUUGGACAACCUUUUCAUUAAUAAAUGAAAUCAUCAUUUAAAAAGUAGAA